AUACGUAGGUGGCGAGCGUUGUCCGGAAUUACUGGGCGUAAAGGGCGCGUAGGCGGAUUUUUAAGUCAGAUGUGAAAACUCUGGGCUCAACCCAGAGAUUGCAUCUGAUACUGGGAGUCUUGAGUGCAGGAGAGGACAGUGGAAUUCCUAGUGUAGCGGUGAAAUGCGUAGAUAUUAGGAGGAACACCAGUGGCGAAGGCGGCUGUCUGGACUGUAACUGACGCUGAGGCGCGAAAGCGUGGGUAGCAAACAGGAUUAGAUACCCUGGUAGUCCACGCCGUAAACGAUGGGUACUAGGUGUAGGAGGUAUCGACCCCUUCUGUGCCGGAGUUAACACAAUAAGUACCCCGCCUGGGGAGUACGGCCGCAAGGUUGAA
Molecule: ribosomal RNA, 377 nt
Filed under: uncultured bacterium
Lineage: Bacteria
Description: bacterial SSU rRNA
Rfam family: Bacterial small subunit ribosomal RNA
Source: RNAcentral